CCUACGGGAGGCAGCAGUGGGGAAUUUUGGACAAUGGGGGCAACCCUGAUCCAGCCAUUCCGCGUGAGUGAAGAAGGCCUUCGGGUUGUAAAGCUCUUUUGUCCGGAACGAAACGGUUACGGUGAAUACCCGUGACUACUGACGGUACCGGAAGAAUAAGCACCGGCUAACUACGUGCCAGCAGCCGCGGUAAUACGUAGGGUGCGAGCGUUAAUCGGAAUUACUGGGCGUAAAGCGUGCGCAGGCGGUUUUGUAAGCCAGAUGUGAAAUCCCCGGGCUUAACCUGGGAAUGGCAUUUGGGACUGCAAGGCUGGAGUUUGGCAGAGGAGACUGGAAUUCCUGGUGUAGCAGUGAAAUGCGUAGAUAUCAGGAAGAAUACCGAUGGCGAAGGCAGGUCUCUGGGCUAUAACUGACGCUCAUGCACGAAAGCGUGGGGAGCAAACAGGAUUAGAUACCCUGGUAGUCCACGCCCUAAACGAUGUCGACUGGUUGUUGGGGGUUUGACACUCUCAGUAACGAAGCUAACGCGUGAAGUCGACCGCCUGGGGAGUACGGCCGCAAGGUUAAAACUCAAAGGAAUUGACGG
Molecule: ribosomal RNA, 586 nt
Filed under: uncultured bacterium
Lineage: Bacteria
Description: bacterial SSU rRNA
Rfam family: Bacterial small subunit ribosomal RNA
Source: RNAcentral